This 252-nucleotide long non-coding RNA is filed under the name Carica papaya (papaya). RNAcentral's name for it is "long non-coding RNA (CPAP_LNC004063)". Lineage: Eukaryota; Viridiplantae; Streptophyta; Magnoliopsida; Brassicales; Caricaceae. The record is from RNAcentral.
UCUCACCGUCACGGAGAUAAAGGUGAGUAGAAAGCAAAAAUGACCAAUGGAGUAUAAUUUAUAACGAACUCGUUUAUUAACAUAAAAACUUUUACUGUCCACUUACCUCGGUGAGAUCCAUGAAAACACCACAUGAAAGCAAUAACGUUAUCAUCAUCAUAAAAUCAUAUAAACUUUAUAACAUAACACAUAUCAUACCUUUACAUUUCAAUCAUCAAAAAACAUAUUUCCUCUUUUACCAGCCUACUAGUA